RNAcentral lists this ribosomal RNA (423 nucleotides) under uncultured bacterium. RNAcentral's name for it is "bacterial SSU rRNA". It matches the Rfam family "Bacterial small subunit ribosomal RNA", at positions 207 to 622 of the family's 1533-position model. The record is from RNAcentral.
AAGACCUUGCGCUUUUGGAGCGGCCGAUGCCUGAUUAGCUAGUUGGUGGGGUAAAAGCCUACCGAGGCAACGAUCAGUAGUUGGUCUGAGAGGACGGCCAGCCACACUGGGACUGAGACACGGCCCAGACUCCUACGGGAGGCAGCAGUGGGGAAUUUUGGACAAUGGGCGCAAGCCUGAUCCAGCAAUGCCGCGUGAGUGAAGAAGGCCUUCGGGUUGUAAAGCUCUUUCAGUCGAGAAGAAAAGAUUGUGACGAAUAAUCACAAUUCAUGACGGUAUCGACAGAAGAAGCACCGGCUAACUACGUGCCAGCAGCCGCGGUAAUACGUAGGGUGCAAGCGUUAAUCGGAAUUACUGGGCGUAAAGGGUGCGCAGGCGGCUUUGUAAGUCAGAUGUGAAAUCCCCGGGCUUAACCUGGGAAUU